Molecule: long non-coding RNA, 220 nt
Filed under: Phoenix dactylifera (date palm)
Lineage: Eukaryota; Viridiplantae; Streptophyta; Magnoliopsida; Arecales; Arecaceae
Description: long non-coding RNA (PDAC_LNC022348)
Source: RNAcentral
UUAUAUGAAGGCACGCAAGGCAUUGGUUGGGAAUCGACUUUGGGUUUGAGGUGGGUCAUGAAUGUUGAUUUGCUUGAACUUGUUCUUGAGCCCAAUGACAUUUAAUUUUUACUAAACCGCUUCAGAUUGAACUCAACCAGAUCAGACUAUGACUUAAUAAAAGGGUUAAUCAAAUAUUUUCCAUACAAUUAUAACUUUCAAUCUAACCAGGACCAAAGCC